CAAUAGCGUAUAUUAAAGUUGUUGCAGUUAAAAAGCUCGUAGUUGGAUUUCUGGUGGGAGCGAUCGGUCUGGCGCUUAGCGCGAGUACUUGCAUCGUCUCCGGCCAUCCUUGGGGAGAGUCUGUCUGGCAUUAGGUUGUCGGGCAGAGGAACCUCAUCGUUUACUGUGAAAAAAUUAGAGUGUUCAAAGCAGGCUUAUGCCGUUGAAUAUAUUAGCAUGGAAUAAUAAGAUAGGACUUUGGUACUAUUUUGUUGGUUUGCGCACCAAAGUAAUGAUUAAUAGGGACAGUUGGGGGUAUUCGUAUUCCGUUGUCAGAGGUGAAAUUCUUGGAUUUACGGAAGACGAACUACUGCGAAAGCAUUUACCAAGGAUGUUUUCAUUAA
Molecule: ribosomal RNA, 383 nt
Filed under: uncultured eukaryote
Lineage: Eukaryota
Description: partial 18S ribosomal RNA
Rfam family: Eukaryotic small subunit ribosomal RNA
Source: RNAcentral